AAUUCCGUGAAUCAUCGAGUUUUUGAACGCAUAUUGCGCCCGAGGUUCACGCCGAGGGCACGUCUGUCUGAGCGUCAAC
This 79-nucleotide ribosomal RNA is filed under the name Riccia sorocarpa. Its description in RNAcentral is "partial 5.8S ribosomal RNA". It matches the Rfam family "5.8S ribosomal RNA", at positions 78 to 154 of the family's 154-position model. From Rfam's summary of the family: 5.8S ribosomal RNA (5.8S rRNA) is a component of the large subunit of the eukaryotic ribosome. The record is from RNAcentral. Lineage: Eukaryota; Viridiplantae; Streptophyta; Marchantiopsida; Marchantiales; Ricciaceae.